Molecule: ribosomal RNA, 458 nt
Filed under: uncultured bacterium
Lineage: Bacteria
Description: partial 16S ribosomal RNA
Rfam family: Bacterial small subunit ribosomal RNA
Source: RNAcentral
GAUGAACGCUGGCGGCGCGCCUAACACAUGCAAGUCGAACGGCACCCCUCCUCGGAGGGAAGCGAGUGGCGAACGGCUGAGUAACACGUGGAGAACCUGCCCCCUCCCCCGGGAUAGCCGCCCGAAAGGACGGGUAAUACCGGAUACCCCGGGGUGCCGCAUGGCACCCCGGCUAAAGCCCCGACGGGAGGGGAUGGCUCCGCGGCCCAUCAGGUAGACGGCGGGGUGACGGCCCACCGUGCCGACAACGGGUAGCCGGGUUGAGAGACCGACCGGCCAGAUUGGGACUGAGACACGGCCCAGACUCCUACGGGAGGCAGCAGUGGGGAAUCUUGCGCAAUGGGGGGAACCCUGACGCAGCGACGCCGCGUGCGGGACGGAGGCCUUCGGGUCGUAAACCGCUUUCAGCAGGGAAGAGUCAAGACUGUACCGGCAGAAGAAGCCCCGGCUAACUACGU